Molecule: transfer RNA, 68 nt
Filed under: Marmota monax (woodchuck)
Lineage: Eukaryota; Metazoa; Chordata; Mammalia; Rodentia; Sciuridae
Description: tRNA.Val
Source: RNAcentral
AGGAAGUAGUUCAGUGGUAGAGCACUGGCCUAACAUGCAUGAGGUCCUGGGUUGAAUCCCCAGUGCUG